UUCCUGUCUCUAUGUUUCCUCUUUCCUUUCUCUGUGGCUUCUACUUCCUGUCACCAUGGGCUGGUUAAUCUGUACACAUCUCUAUGGCUCAUCUUUCCAGUCUGUUGAUAGCUUUUUGCAGCCCAAUUCGAUCAUCCAAAAUAUUAGCCAUCCCUCCCAGAUUUGUGUCAUCUGCAAAUCUGAUGAUCAUGGCAGGCUUGAUGAAUAUAUCUUAGAGAAUAUGGCCCAGGAUAGUCAUGGAUGAUGUUCCUACUCGCAGGCCCGAAAGAGUUGUGAGUUCGAGUUGGAGGCUGAUGAAGAAUCUGCUGACUGGACCUGAGACCCUGUACUUGGUGAGACUGUUCUUAAAUCUCUCCCUUUUGGACCGACACAUGGUGAGUGAAAAGAACUGACUCCUUUCUUGGAUUUUCUGAGGAGACUAGACUCAGGAGAGACCUACCCUCUUGAGAGAGGCUCCCUGCAUCCCCCAGGUCCUCCACUCAAAAGCCAAGGCCUCUCCUGCUAAGGACUAAACUCCCUGCCUGGGUUGAGCCAGGGAUCAGAGCAAAAUACUUAGAGCUUAGGCUAGAUAUCUUACUCUAUCCUCUCUCCAAUUUCCUACUUUAUCCUUUCUAUAUUUUGUAAAUAAAUUGUAAAUAAAAUCUCUUUGGAAUUUCA
Molecule: long non-coding RNA, 657 nt
Filed under: Monodelphis domestica (gray short-tailed opossum)
Lineage: Eukaryota; Metazoa; Chordata; Mammalia; Didelphimorphia; Didelphidae
Description: lncRNA (ENSMODG00000040430.1)
Source: RNAcentral